CAGGGCAGCCGCCCAUUGGGUGUGCUGCAUAAUGUGCCCCCUCCGUAUCUAGGGCCCGGUUCCCUGCGGAUUAAGCCGAUAGACCCAUAAUCCUUCAACUAGCUAAGCCUUGAAACAGACCAUUGUGGCUACUUCUAGGAAUCCCGGCGCAAGCCAUCAUGCACCUAGUCAUUCUAGGGCAGCCAAGCUCAUCCACGUCUGGAUAUUCGGAGUGUUGAGUUUAUCCUCCCUCCUUGGAGAGCACAGUUGGUCCCUUGGGGGGUGUAAUUUUCUUUUGAAGUGCAGAAAGAAAUAAGUUGUUGUAGACAUAUAUUAAAGCCAAAUUACAAAUUACUUUUGAAUUCUUUAUUGAAAAAUAAAAUGAGCGAAUAACUUGGUUGCAAAAACUGCAUGAUGAUUGGAUAGUCCUCGGUUUACGAGGUGGUGACCGUUGAGAUGCUCGAGUCUUCGGGUCUUGAUAUAGUGUGAAGUCACACAUGGUAUUUCCUCAAAUUGUAGGCGUUCCAUUGCUUCUCGAUCUCUUUAUCAUUCAUGGUAGCAAGAGUAUAACUGCCUUUGCCGCCGACUCUGUUGAUCUUGUAAGGACCUUCCCAUAUGGGGUCCAUUUUUUUCGAGCCUUCUCUGCGGGCAGUGAUGAAAGCUUUUCUUAGGACUAGGUCUCCGGGU
RNAcentral lists this long non-coding RNA (666 nucleotides) under Malus domestica (apple). Its description in RNAcentral is "long non-coding RNA (MDOM_LNC011173)". The record is from RNAcentral. Lineage: Eukaryota; Viridiplantae; Streptophyta; Magnoliopsida; Rosales; Rosaceae.